Molecule: long non-coding RNA, 2783 nt
Organism: Formica exsecta
Lineage: Eukaryota; Metazoa; Arthropoda; Insecta; Hymenoptera; Formicidae
Exons: 3
Source: RefSeq, a predicted model, not a curated record
UUCUCUCUCUCUCUCUCUCCCUUCAUCCCAUCACUAUCGUUCCUUGCCUAUGCUCUCAUCGUCGGUUUCUUCUCUACCUCGACACCCCCGCACUCGCCGCUUCCUCUCGUCGCAGCUCGAUCGGCUGCCCCUCCACUCUCACUCUACCCAAGUCCCGGUCUCGGCCUCGGCCCCGCCGACUUCCCCCUACGGUGAAACUUUGUAAAGCGACUUAGUCAAAGUUUAAUAAAUUCCUUCGAGGAAGUUUCAAAGCGGUUCUACGCGGGAUUGCAAAUGAUUACGUUUCGUCGUGCUAGAGAAUAUGCGAAGAUGGGAGGAAUCGGUAUGUAAGGCCGACAGAAGGAGGGACGAACAAGGACAAGGAGAGAGGCUCACUCACAUAACAAACACAAUUGACUCGGUGAUAGUGACCAGAAAAUGGCCGCCACGACGCAAACAAAUGAGCAAGUCCAACCAUUCCCAUGGCAACAAUCUCAAUCAGAUAGGAGCUAGCGGAGCAGAGAACAGAGAACACGCCGGAUAAUAUAUUCGAUACAGUCUCGCCCCCCGCUCUGUUUCAUCUCAUUCGCAGGAUGCCCGUGAGAUGAUCAUGACGAUCAUGACUAUUAUACGACAAAUCAAAAACGCUUAAAUAAUUCACUUGCAUAAUCCAUUUUUAUUUUAUUUUGAUCCGAUCAAAGGCUGUUUAUAUAUCUUUGCCAUCGAUGACUUGCAUGUUAGCAGCAAAUCGAAAAAAGAGAGCGAACAGUGCGAGAAACCGGUUACCAUUGUUACAGCGUCGUCGCUACCACGAGAAAGAGAGUCAUCGACUACGAAUACUCGAGAUACCUUUAUUGUCAUAAGCUAAAUCCUAUUUUGCGUGUGUACAUGUAUGUGUGUCAUAUACGUAACAAUACUAUAGAAUGCUAUAGAAUUAUCAUUUCAAAAACAACCUCUUAUUCUUUCGGCUGGGUAAACUAUGAAGAAAAAGAUAAGAGGGGAAGAAAAAGAUCAAAUUAAACAUGUUAUCAAAGUUGCUUUACUUUUAUAUAUUACUCUGAAGACAAAAUAUUUGUCUAUUUUUUAUGAUCAAAUGAAAUAGUUAAAAAGCAUAAAGCAAAGUCAACGUUCGAGCAAUCUACCCAACACUGGAUAAAAUACAGGCGCUUGAUUAAAUAUAAAAUUAGUGUAGCACUUAGUUUACAUUUAUCUUCUGUUAUCGUCGAGAUUAUUAAUUAUUUCUAUUAAUUGUUUAAUUAUUUCUUCAUGAAUAAUAUUCUUUUUUAUUGAAUAUUGUUGUAAAUUUAAUUCUGCAAUUUACAAUGAUAAUUAAGUUAGUGUAAUAUUAUGCAAUACUACACAAAACACAAAAUCUCACAAAUUGUUUUUGAAUAAUUAAAGAUGUAUAACAGUAAAGAUCGUGAUUUUCAGAUUAAAUGCUGGAUUUGAAUACGCGAAGUCAAGGUACUUAUAUUCAAUCGAAAACCUAUCUACUAGAUAUAAUUAAAUCUAUCUGCGAAAUGUCUCUACACACACAUAUACACAGGUCAUUUUAAUACAAAAUAUUUUUGGACGGACUAAUUGCUUGUUAUUAAUACACGUGGUUCUAUGUUAGCACUAUUUCAUAUGAAAAAUAAUCUUAAACGCAAUAACUAUAACGAGCGAUAACUUAUACGAUAACUUUCGCUUUAAAGACGACGAAGGAAAUGUUGUGAUAUUCAUAUUAUGCCUUAAAUUCUCUCGUAAUUAAAGUGAUCUGAUUUAUAAGUUUUCGUUAAUUAAAUUUAAUAGGUAUAUUGCACGAAAGUACCCAAAUCGAUGACACGAAGCUGUCACUUUUUUAUCUUCGUCUCUUUUUUUAUAUCAAACUUUUUAAUAUAAAUGUAAGAAUUAUCUUAUAUAUUCUUGUUCGAUGAGCACUUUACAUUAUUAUGUAUGUUAUAUCAGUUCCGUAUCAUGUUCUUUUAUUUCUUUCUUAAUCUUUUAUUAAUGCCUAUAUCUUAAUUUAAAAAAAAAAAAACUCAACAAUUAUAUAUGUAUGAGGAGAAUGUAAAAAUACACACGAAUAAAUUUCAGGCGGCGAAAAAUGUCAUUCAAUACUUUCGCAACGUCAUGCAAAAUAGUAUUUUGCGUUUUCAAGUCGUAAGUUCUUUGAAACGAGAAAAGAUAAAAAAGACAAAUAUUCGAUAUCACGCGUCCGAUAAUACUGGGAUAUGAACGACAGUUCGCUAUAUAAGUUACAAGAGAGACGGGUUAGCUCGAAUUCCAUUAUGCUGUUUUAUGCCCGUCAUUCUUGUUUUUAUUGCACGCCUCUCAUCGCUUUUCUCUCUGUUUUACGGCCUUGCCUAUGAACGUAUUCCUCGGUAGAUCGCGAGCUAUUAGUUUUGUCCUUUCAUUAUUUUUAUGCUCUUGCACUCGGGACAGGAAUAGAAAGAGAAACAAAGACAGAGUAAAAAGAAAUCAGGAAAUUAAAAUGACGUUAUGAUUGAUAAUACGCAGGGUAAGAAUAAAUUUGUAGUGGGGUAAGAAUGUAAUAUUGUAUACUUAUAUAUUUGCUUUGUUGACGCAUCUUGUUUUUCAGAUAUAUAAGUUAUAGUUCAAUUGAAAAUAUGAUAACAAAUGUGAAAUGCAAUGCACAGAUAAAGUGCAUCAUAUCGAUAAGGGUGCGUAUAAUUGGUGUCUGAAAAAAACGUUGCUUAUAUACAACGUGUCUCAAAUAAAAUAAAUACAUUGCAAUAACUCAAUAACUUAUAAACAGUUAAUAUUAAAAAGAAAAUAUCCAAAAUAAAAUUGUAGAAGGUAGA